This 23-nucleotide small nuclear RNA is filed under the name Arabidopsis thaliana (thale cress). Its description in RNAcentral is "snRNA_00742". Lineage: Eukaryota; Viridiplantae; Streptophyta; Magnoliopsida; Brassicales; Brassicaceae. The record is from RNAcentral.
CCGUUCGGCGGAAGCGUCGUUCG